GUACCCCUCCCUGAAUUUUCAAUGUAACCCUCCUCAAAUACAGUCUGCAGCCCUCUUUCAGUAGUGAUACAAGCUGUCUGUAUCCCUUGUUCAGUGCUGUGUGUACCCCCUAACAUGAGGACAGCCUGUACCCCAUCCUGUAGCUUUCCAUCCCCCUAGCUUGCUAGAUCUCCACUCUUUUUCGGUUUGUCUCCUUGUCUCUUUCUAUGUUAGGGAUCCUGUCACACCCCCCACCCCCCUCCUCCCCUAAGCUAACUUUCCACCCUCCCCUUCCAUCCUUGUCUUAUCUCCCUCUUCACUCCAGCUGUC
This is a non-coding RNA of Pelobates cultripes (western spadefoot toad), 309 nucleotides long. NCBI's taxonomy places the organism in Eukaryota, Metazoa, Chordata, Amphibia, Anura, Pelobatidae. The record is from the annotation of a GenBank genome assembly.